This 125-nucleotide small RNA is filed under the name Marmota monax (woodchuck). Lineage: Eukaryota; Metazoa; Chordata; Mammalia; Rodentia; Sciuridae. The record is from RNAcentral.
GCCAGGCAUGGUGGAGCAUGCCUAUAAUCCCAGCAGCUCGGGAGGCUGAGGCAGGAGGAUCGUGAGUUCAAAGCCAGCCUCAGCAAAAAAGCAAGGUGCUAAAACUGAGUGAGACCCUGUCUCUA